AAUCAACGCUGGCGGCGCGCUUAACACAUGCAAGUCGAACGAGAAAGUCCGCAAGGAUGAGUACAGUGGCGUACGGGUGAGUAACACGUGGAUCAUCUACCUUUAGUGGGAGUACGUGGGAACGCCGACAAUACGCAUAAGCCCGAGAGGGGAAAGGACAGCAAUGCGCUGAAAGAAGGAGUCCGCGGUCGAUUAGCUAGUUGGUGAGGUAAAGGCUCACCAAGGCUGUGAUCGAUAGCCGGCCUGAGAGGGCGACACGGCCACACUGGCGACUGAAACAACGGGCCGAGACUCCUACGGGAGGGCAGCAGUGGGGAAGUCUUGCACAA
Molecule: ribosomal RNA, 329 nt
Filed under: uncultured bacterium
Lineage: Bacteria
Description: bacterial SSU rRNA
Rfam family: Bacterial small subunit ribosomal RNA
Source: RNAcentral